GGUAUUUGUGUUCCCAAAAUGAAGAAAUUUUUUUUCAUAUAAAUGUCAUGUACCCACUUUACCUAGAGAGAGUUUUUAUCCACCACCAGUUGAUAUAGCAAUUUCCCAAUAGAAGCCAAAUUCCAAAUCCUACAUCCUUUGACAUUCAGUUCUCUAUUGCGCUUGGGCUUACAAUUUGUGUCUCAUGCUAUAGGUGAAUGUUCCUUUGAUCCUCUUUGACUCCCCAUAUGAACUUCUAACAUCUCUGAUCGACCUCCUUCAACACACUUUAUGGC
RNAcentral lists this long non-coding RNA (275 nucleotides) under Solanum tuberosum (potato). Its description in RNAcentral is "long non-coding RNA (STUB_LNC003276)". The record is from RNAcentral. Lineage: Eukaryota; Viridiplantae; Streptophyta; Magnoliopsida; Solanales; Solanaceae.